Molecule: long non-coding RNA, 601 nt
Filed under: Phascolarctos cinereus (koala)
Lineage: Eukaryota; Metazoa; Chordata; Mammalia; Diprotodontia; Phascolarctidae
Description: lncRNA (ENSPCIG00000033959.1)
Source: RNAcentral
CAAAUCAACAACAUCCUGUUCUUUUGUGAGGCUCCGGGCGCCUGCCAGGCGGAGGCAGCUCACAGGCUCUUAAAGCGAUAGCCGCCCCGCCGCCCGUGAAAAGAGGCGGGGUGCGGGAACCUGGAGGAGGGCGACUAGGCUGGGGGGAUGGGGGAGAGGAGGAUGGGGGAAGGGGAGAGAGAGAGCAGGCCUCCACCCUGGCUCCCUUCCCCCCAGCCACGGCUCCACCCCGGGCGGCAAGGAGGAGCCGGGGGCACAGCCGGAAUGCGGAGAAUGACCGGAGGGGGCUCCGCCUGACCUCCCCACCCGCCCCCUUUCGCACGAGCAUCUGCUCCGAAAACUUAAUGAGUGCUACAGACUGAUAUUUACAAUGCCAUCGGAGGCUUUUGCUGAACAUCGUUCUGAGGGCAUCAUUGGACCUACAGUAGGUCAGUACUGGAGGGGAACUCCAUGUAUGCAAUGAUUCUGUAACCGGGCUUCUUAACCUUUUUCGGGUCCUGAACCCUUUUGCCAGCUAGUGAAGCAUGUGGUUCCCUUCUCAAAAUAAUGUUUUUUAAAUAUGUAAAAUAAAAUAUGUAGGGUUGUAAAGGAAAUAAGUUAU